RNAcentral lists this ribosomal RNA (494 nucleotides) under uncultured bacterium. Its description in RNAcentral is "bacterial SSU rRNA". It matches the Rfam family "Bacterial small subunit ribosomal RNA", at positions 28 to 511 of the family's 1533-position model. The record is from RNAcentral.
GAUGAACGCUAGCGGCAGGCUUAACACAUGCAAGUCGAGGGGCAGCAUGACGGAACUUUCGGGUUCUGUUGAUGGCGACCGGCGCAAGGGUGCGUAACGCGUGAGCAACUUGCCCGUUUCUGGGGAAUAACCGGUGGAAACGCCGACUAAUACUCCAUGGCACAUUUGUGAGGCAUCUUACAGAUGUUAAAGAUUUAUCGGAAACGGAUAGGCUCGCGUGACAUUAGCUAGAUGGCGGGGUAACGGCCACCAUGGCGACGAUGUCUAGGGGUUCUGAGAGGAAGGUCCCCCACACUGGAACUGAGACACGGUCCAGACUCCUACGGGAGGCAGCAGUGAGGAAUAUUGGUCAAUGGUCGGAAGACUGAACCAGCCAUGCCGCGUGAAGGUCACGGCCCUAUGGGUCUUAAACUUCUUUUGCAAGGGAGCAAUAAGGUUCACGUGUGGACUGAUGAGAGUACCUUGCGAAUAAGCAUCGGCUAACUCCGUGCCAG